RNAcentral lists this transfer RNA (65 nucleotides) under Ictidomys tridecemlineatus (thirteen-lined ground squirrel). RNAcentral describes it as "Spermophilus tridecemlineatus (thirteen-lined ground squirrel) tRNA". It matches the Rfam family "tRNA". From Rfam's summary of the family: Transfer RNA (tRNA) molecules are approximately 80 nucleotides in length. Their secondary structure includes four short double-helical elements and three loops (D, anti-codon, and T loops). Further hydrogen bonds mediate the characteristic L-shaped molecular structure. tRNAs have two regions of fundamental functional importance: the anti-codon, which is responsible for specific mRNA codon recognition, and the 3' end, to which the tRNAs corresponding amino acid is attached (by aminoacyl-tRNA synthetases). tRNAs cope with the degeneracy of the genetic code in two manners: having more than one tRNA (with a specific anti-codon) for a particular amino acid; and 'wobble' base-pairing, i.e. permitting non-standard base-pairing at the 3rd anti-codon position. The record is from Rfam by way of RNAcentral. Lineage: Eukaryota; Metazoa; Chordata; Mammalia; Rodentia; Sciuridae.
GUUGUGGCUCAGCGGUAGAGCGCUCACCUAGCACAUGUGAGGCCCUGGGUUCGAUCCUCAGCAGC